RNAcentral lists this ribosomal RNA (497 nucleotides) under uncultured bacterium. RNAcentral describes it as "partial 16S ribosomal RNA". It matches the Rfam family "Bacterial small subunit ribosomal RNA", at positions 28 to 507 of the family's 1533-position model. The record is from RNAcentral.
GACGAACGCUGGCGGCGUGCCUAAUACAUGCCAGUUGAGCGCUGAAGGUUGGUACUUGUACCAACUGGAUGAGCAGCGAACGGGUGAGUAACGCGUGGGGAAUCUGCCUUUGAGCGGGGGACAACAUUUGGAAACGAAUGCUAAUACCGCAUAAAAACUUUAAACACAAGUUUUAAGUUUGAAAGAUGCAAUUGCAUCACUCAAAGAUGAUCCCGCGUUGUAUUAGCUAGUUGGUGAGGUAAAGGCUCACCAAGGCGAUGAUACAUAGCCGACCUGAGAGGGUGAUAGGCCACAUUGGGACUGAGACGCGGCCCAAACUCCUACGGGAGGCAGCAGUAGGGAAUCUUCGGCAAUGGAAGAAAGUCUGACCGAGCAACGCCGCGUGAGUGAAGAAGGGUUUCGGAUCGUAAAAAUCUGUUGGUAGAGAAGAACGUUGGUGAGAGUGGAAAGCUCAUCAAGUGACGGUAACUACACAGAAAGGGACGGCUAACUACGUG